CACUAUCGUUAACUGAAUACAUAGGUUAACGAGGCGAACCGGGGGAACUGAAACAUCUAAGUACCCCGAGGAAAAGAAAUCAACCGAGAUUCCCCCAGUAGCGGCGAGCGAACGGGGAGCAGCCCAGAGUCUGAAUCAGCUUGUGUGUUAGUGGAACGGUCUGGAAAGUCCGACGGUACAGGGUGAUAGUCCCGUACACCAAAAUGCACAGGUUGUGAACUCGAAGAGUAGGGCGGGACACGUGGUAUCCUGUCUGAAUAUGGGGGGACCAUCCUCCAAGGCUAAAUACUCCUGACUGACCGAUAGUGAACCAGUACCGUGAGGGAAAGGCGAAAAGAACCCCGGCGAGGGGAGUGAAAAAGAACCUGAAACCGUGUACGUACAAGCAGUGGGAGCACCUUCGGGUGUGACUGCGUACCUUUUGUAUAAUGGGUCAGCGACUUAUAUUCUGUAGCAAGGUUAACCGUAUAGGGGAGCCGCAGGGAAACCGAGUCUUAACUGGGCGUUAAGUUGCAGGGUAUAGACCCGAAACCCGGUGAUCUAGCCAUGGGCAGGUUGAAGGUUGGGUAACACUAACUGGAGGACCGAACCGACUAAUGUUGAAAAAUUAGCGGAUGACUUGUGGCUGGGGGUGAAAGGCCAAUCAAACCGGGAGAUAGCUGGUUCUCCCCGAAAGCUAUUUAGGUAGCGCCUCGUGAAUUCAUCUUCGGGGGUAGAGCACUGUUUCGGCUAGGGGGUCAUCCCGACUUACCAACCCGAUGCAAACUACGAAUACCGAAGAAUGUUAUCACGGGAGACACACGGCGGGUGCUAACGUCCGUCGUGAAGAGGGAAACAACCCAGACCGCCAGCUAAGGUCCCAAAGUCAUGGUUAAGUGGGAAACGAUGUGGGAAGGCACAGACAGCCAGGAUGUUGGCUUAGAAGCAGCCAUCAUUUAAAGAAAGCGUAAUAGCUCACUGGUCGAGUCGGCCUGCGCGGAAGAUGUAACGGGGCUAAACCAUGCACCGAAGCUGCGGCAGCGACACUAUGUGUUGUUGGGUAGGGGAGCGUUCUGUAAGCCUGCGAAGGUGUGCUGUGAGGCAUGCUGGAGGUAUCAGAAGUGCGAAUGCUGACAUAAGUAACGAUAAAGCGGGUGAAAAGCCCGCUCGCCGGAAGACCAAGGGUUCCUGUCCAACGUUAAUCGGGGCAGGGUGAGUCGACCCCUAAGGCGAGGCCGAAAGGCGUAGUCGAUGGGAAACAGGUUAAUAUUCCUGUACUUGGUGUUACUGCGAAGGGGGGACGGAGAAGGCUAUGUUAGCCGGGCGACGGUUGUCCCGGUUUAAGCAUGUAGGCUGGUUAUCCAGGCAAAUCCGGAUAAUCAAGGCUGAGGUGUGAUGACGAGGCACUACGGUGCUGAAGUAACAAAUGCCCUGCUUCCAGGAAAAGCCUCUAAGCAUCAGGUAACAUCAAAUCGUACCCCAAACCGACACAGGUGGUCAGGUAGAGAAUACCAAGGCGCUUGAGAGAACUCGGGUGAAGGAACUAGGCAAAAUGGUGCCGUAACUUCGGGAGAAGGCACGCUGGUGUGUAGGUGAAGUCCCUGCGGAUGGAGCUGAGACCAGUCGAAGAUACCAGCUGGCUGCAACUGUUUAUUAAAAACACAGCACUGUGCAAACACGAAAGUGGACGUAUACGGUGUGACGCCUGCCCGGUGCCGGAAGGUUAAUUGAUGGGGUUAUCCGUAAGGAGAAGCUCUUGAUCGAAGCCCCGGUAAACGGCGGCCGUAACUAUAACGGUCCUAAGGUAGCGAAAUUCCUUGUCGGGUAAGUUCCGACCUGCACGAAUGGCGUAAUGAUGGCCAGGCUGUCUCCACCCGAGACUCAGUGAAAUUGAACUCGCUGUGAAGAUGCAGUGUACCCGCGGCAAGACGGAAAGACCCCGUGAACCUUUACUAUAGCUUGACACUGAACAUUGAGCCUUGAUGUGUAGGAUAGGUGGGAGGCUUUGAAGCGUGGACGCCAGUCUGCGUGGAGCCAACCUUGAAAUACCACCCUUUAAUGUUUGAUGUUCUAACGUUGGCCCCUGACCGGGGUUGCGGACAGUGUCUGGUGGGUAGUUUGACUGGGGCGGUCUCCUCCCAAAGCGUAACGGAGGAGCACGAAGGUUAGCUAAUCCUGGUCGGACAUCAGGAGGUUAGUGCAAUGGCAUAAGCUAGCUUGACUGCGAGCGUGACGGCGCGAGCAGGUGCGAAAGCAGGUCAUAGUGAUCCGGUGGUUCUGAAUGGAAGGGCCAUCGCUCAACGGAUAAAAGGUACUCCGGGGAUAACAGGCUGAUACCGCCCAAGAGUUCAUAUCGACGGCGGUGUUUGGCACCUCGAUGUCGGCUCAUCACAUCCUGGGGCUGAAGUAGGUCCCAAGGGUAUGGCUGUUCGCCAUUUAAAGUGGUACGCGAGCUGGGUUUAGAACGUCGUGAGACAGUUCGGUCCCUAUCUGCCGUGGGCGCUGGAGAAUUGAGGGGGGCUGCUCCUAGUACGAGAGGACCGGAGUGGACGCAUCACUGGUGUUCGGGUUGUCAUGCCAAUGGCACUGCCCGGUAGCUAAAUGCGGAAGAGAUAAGUGCUGAAAGCAUCUAAGCACGAAACUUGCCCCGAGAUGAGUUCUCCCUGAGACUUUAAGUCUCCUGAAGGAACGUUAAAGACGAUGACGUUGAUAGGCCGGGUGUGUAAGCGCAGCGAUGCGUUGAGCUAACCGGUACUAAUGAACCGUGAGGCUUAACCUUACAACGCCGAAG
Molecule: ribosomal RNA, 2770 nt
Filed under: Klebsiella pneumoniae
Lineage: Bacteria; Pseudomonadati; Pseudomonadota; Gammaproteobacteria; Enterobacterales; Enterobacteriaceae
Description: partial 23S ribosomal RNA
Rfam family: Bacterial large subunit ribosomal RNA
Source: RNAcentral